RNAcentral lists this ribosomal RNA (491 nucleotides) under uncultured bacterium. RNAcentral describes it as "partial 16S ribosomal RNA". It matches the Rfam family "Bacterial small subunit ribosomal RNA", at positions 29 to 506 of the family's 1533-position model. The record is from RNAcentral.
AGUGAACGCUGGCGGUAGGCCUAACACAUGCAAGUCGAACGGCAGCACAGUAAGAGCUUGCUCUUACGGGUGGCGAGUGGCGGACGGGUGAGGAAUACAUCGGAAUCUACUUUUUCGUGGGGGAUAACGUAGGGAAACUUACGCUAAUACCGCAUACGACCUACGGGUGGAAGCAGGGGAUCUUCGGACCUUGCGCGAUUGAAUGAGCCGAUGUCGGAUUAGCUAGUUGGCGGGGUAAAGGCCCACCAAGGCGACGAUCCGUAGCUGGUCUGAGAGGAUGAUCAGCCACACUGGAACUGAGACACGGUCCAGACUCCUACGGGAGGCAGCAGUGGGGAAUAUUGGACAAUGGGCGCAAGCCUGAUCCAGCCAUACCGCGUGGGUGAAGAAGGCCUUCGGGUUGUAAAGCCCUUUUGUUGGGAAAGAAAAGCAGCAGGUUAAGACCCCGCUGUUCUGACGGUACCCAAAGAAUAAGCACCGGCUAACUUCGU